Long non-coding RNA from Acinonyx jubatus (cheetah), 1176 nucleotides. RefSeq lists it as uncharacterized. The record is from RefSeq and is a predicted model, not a curated record. Lineage: Eukaryota; Metazoa; Chordata; Mammalia; Carnivora; Felidae. The transcript has 3 exons.
UUAAUGUUUAUUUAUUUUUGAGAGGCAGAGUGCAAGCAAGGGAAGGGCAGAGGGAGAGUGAGAGAGACACAGAAUCCAAAGCAGGCUCUGGAUUCUGAGCUGUCAGCACAGAGCCUGACACGGGGCUCAAACCCACCAAUUAUGAGAUCAUGACCUGAGUCGAAGUCAGAUACUUAACAGACUGAGCCACCCAGGUGUCCCACAAUUCGAUGGUUUAAUAGGCAGUUGGAUAUAUGAGAUUGAAGCUCAGAUGGUCUGGGAUUACAAUGUGAAUAUUCACAUCUCUUAUGUGAGAAUAUAAAUAAACUCAAUAUAAAUGAGAUCACCUAGGAAAGAGUUCGUAUAGAAUGAGAAGAGAAGAAGAGCUAGGGCCAUACCUUGAGAAAAUCUAAUAACUAAUAACUGGUUUAGAAGAUAAUGAUCCUGUAAUUCUCCUCAGGGAAUUACUGAGCAUAGGAGGAAAAUAGGAAGAGUGCAGUAACACAGAUGCCAAGAGAAUAUUAUUCAAGAAAAAGAGGGGACUUGUUUUAAUGAGAGCCAAAUAAGGUGAAGAAUAGAACACUUAUUGGAUCAGCAUGGGAAAAGUGUAGAUGCUUCUCCAGAAAAGCCUUCACUCAUCUGCCCACGCACAAUUAAAUAUACCUUCAUCUGGGUUUCCAUCGAGGUUAUUCUGUUACAGCACCUGCUGUUUUUAUUCAGAAUUAUAAAAGGUUAAAAGUCAACUCUAAGUUUGUGAGAAAGUGGUCGGAAAACUCAGGAUACAUAUCCAAAACCUCUAACAAGUCUUCUCUCUGGAUCUUAUGCAAGUCACAACUUUGUCUACAUGACUGGACUUCUGCCAGAUUUCCUGCAUGGACGGAAGACCUCUCCAAAAUGAUAACUUGCCUAGUCUUUGCCCAUUUUUGCUUUGGGGGGCUAGUGGAUCUUUCUGCACUCUUUGUCAGAUCCUACACAACCCAGCUCCUCUCCUAGAGCCAACCCUCUGGUACGUCACUGAUCCCUCCCACAUGGGAUUUUUUGGCAAGUUAUGCUAGACUAGAAUUGAGUGAUGUUUGUAUACUGUUUUCUGAAAUGGGACCACUUUAUUUGGAGGUGUUACAGUAGGAAAAACCCCAGUUCACUGGUCUUCCUACACAUUUUUCCUCCCUGAAGCCCAUUGUUGUGGUCUUGGCAUGA